CCCGCUGGAAUCACCUCCAGAAGAAGAGGCCUCCCCCAGGGCCUUCAGUGACCGACCUCAGGGCCUCCGCGUGUCCUGGCCUUGGCUGAGGCCCGGCUUCCGCGCACUUGAAGACCAAGCUGCAUUUCUAGUCCCCAAGUCCCUGAAGAGAUGUGAGGACAAUUGGUGCCGGCCUCCUGGGGAGUCAGACCGGGCUGCUGAGGGCUGGGCUACCGGAAUAAACCACCCACACUGCGUACUCCUCAGCCAAGCUCCGUCAGCUGCUUGACGCAAAGGCGGUGCGCACGCACUGAGAGAAAACCAGAGAAUAGAAAAGCUGCGGAGCUGGAGGAAGAAGACUGCCAGGCGGUGCCAGCAGCACUUGGCUGAACAUCCUUCCAAAGCUCUUCUGGGAUUCGGGGCAGCUACAAAUGUGAACAGCCACCUGCCACACCUCAGGAUGGAGGCCGACAGGGUCCACGGAGGAGCUGCCCCGGAGACCACCUAGAGGGUGCCCGUAUCUCUGGUCCGAACACCCCCGAGCUUCCUUCAAGGGCUUCCAAGAAGGCGACAAGGAGAAGGUGGGUUCCCCACCCUCUCAGCAGCCAUCCCUGCUGAUGAGCAAGCUGGCAGCACGGGAACCGGACACUGGGAGACCAAAGUCGCAAGGGAGUGACUGAGGGGGACCCUGCUGGCCUGACAAUGCCCAGAGCAGCUCGGUGCAGCCGCCCGGUCGAGGGCUGGCUCCCUGGUGCUAGAGUCACACCGGCCUCGUUUCUCAAAACGCUUGCUCCACCUCGGAGUUCGGCCACCUCUCCCCCGCCUGCCCCCCGAGGUCGCCGGCCGCCUUCCCGGACCCCUGCCUGCAUCGCGCCCCCCCCGGUCCCAGUGCCCGGGUGCUGGCCGGGGUACCUUAGCCUUUUCCUGCAGCGCCCGCGGCGCAGGGAGGUGGGACUGACCUCGGGCUGGAGCUGAGCAAGCAGCGUCAUCAGAGAGAAGGUCGCCAAGGGCCCGCUCUCGGUCCCCCGAGGAGCGGGGCCCGUGGGCGGCAGGGUGGAGUGAGGGAGCAGCUUGUGUAAAGAAAUCAUUGAGAAAUUUCUAGCGUAACUGGAGGGAAUUAUAAACGACAUCGACUUGGAGCAUAAACUUGCUGCCUAGUUACGAGCCACAGCAAAGGUCUCCAGGACGCGUCUUACAGAACAAACAGAAGACAAGGGCGGGAGCUUCCCGAGCGCAGGGAGGGGCGCUCUGGAUGCCCAGGGGGUGGCCCUCCUUCAUUCUAACGCCACACGGGCCCUGCUUUCACCUGGGCCAACCUGAGGGGUCCUGGGCAACUGGGGGUCCUGACCUGGGGUCGAGGCUAGUUAAAGCACCUGGCAUGCUGACUUGGUUGUGACCUUCUGCUCGUCACACGAGUGAAAUGCAGAUUCCUGAAGUCUGUGUGGCACAGAGCCCCUGGCCCUGGUGGAUCUCCUCUGGGAGCCACUGGGGCUCUGCCUCUGGGCCCUGAGCCUCGGGAACAAGCCCCACCCGGCCCCCAGCAGCACCUGGUCCUUCGCCACCACCUCCAGGGCAUGAGUGAGCUCCGGCCAGAGGGCCUCCCUCUGCACAGGAGUAUGUGCGGAGCCUGCUUGCCUGAGGAAGGGCGGUUGCAGGUGUUGGGGUGCAGCAGGUUUGGGGGGCAAGGCUCUGGUAAGAGUUCAGCCUCCCCUCGGACUGGGAAAAUGCCGAAGACAGUGCCAGCAGCGCUUUCCACGAGGUGGUGGCUGAAUCCAGGACUGGACCUGGAGACAGCUGACCCAGGGGUCCGGGCCCCUCUCUGGGCAGGGCAAUCCCAGGCACACCCUUAAUAGCCAGAAACACCCCCAGACGUUGGCGAAUGCCCGGGAGUAAAUGCCUGCCAGGGCAGCCGCUCCAGCCCCAUGAGGGAGCUGGUGUUUUCUCAAGGGCUGCUUCCUUCCAGCCAGAGUGGAAAUUGAAUCAGGACCAGCUGAAAAACUUGCAGAACCCAGUGGCAAAUCAAAACACGGGGCUCCUGGUUCGAAUAUGAUGUGAUGCCAGGUGUUGGGCCAGACGCGGGCCUGCUGGCCUUGGCCGCCUGCCCAUGAAGCUGGUUGGCGCUGAAUCAAAUACAAUGCCCCCGAAACAGUGAAUCACCAACAAGCUGCAGAAAUCUCUCAUAGCAAUGAUUUCAAUAGACUCUUUUAAACUUGGUGGCCCACGGGUGGCUGGUGUAGGGACCCCAGUCUGAGCUCCGCCCUGUGCCGAGUAGCUUCGCCUUUCCCAAAGCCUGGCCUCCACAGGACGAGAGGGGCCCAAGGCAGCGGCGUGGCAGCAGGAUGGGCCUCUCCUGGAAGCAGGUACCUUUUUAGGUGGUGUGUUCCUUGAAGGCAAGAAUGAUGUUUCACAAUAUACACCCAGUGCCUAUCACAGCUUCUUCUACUGUGGU
Molecule: long non-coding RNA, 2428 nt
Filed under: Sus scrofa (pig)
Lineage: Eukaryota; Metazoa; Chordata; Mammalia; Artiodactyla; Suidae
Description: lncRNA (ENSSSCG00045029326.1)
Source: RNAcentral